This 162-nucleotide small nuclear RNA is filed under the name Ochotona princeps (American pika). Its description in RNAcentral is "U1 spliceosomal RNA (ENSOPRG00000018114.1)". It matches the Rfam family "U1 spliceosomal RNA". Rfam says of the family: U1 is a small nuclear RNA (snRNA) component of the spliceosome (involved in pre-mRNA splicing). Its 5' end forms complementary base pairs with the 5' splice junction, thus defining the 5' donor site of an intron. There are significant differences in sequence and secondary structure between metazoan and yeast U1 snRNAs, the latter being much longer (568 nucleotides as compared to 164 nucleotides in human). Lineage: Eukaryota; Metazoa; Chordata; Mammalia; Lagomorpha; Ochotonidae. The record is from RNAcentral.
AUAUUCACCCUGUAGGGGAGAUACCAAAAUUAUGAAAGCAGUCUUCCCAAGGAAAGGCUUACCUGCUGUACUUCAGCUGUGCUGGCCCCGGCGAUUUGCCCAAGUGUGGGAAAUUCAACAGCACGAUUUGUGAUAGUGGGACAGUCCUUCAGGUUCUUCUGC